RNAcentral lists this ribosomal RNA (494 nucleotides) under uncultured bacterium. RNAcentral's name for it is "partial 16S ribosomal RNA". It matches the Rfam family "Bacterial small subunit ribosomal RNA", at positions 28 to 507 of the family's 1533-position model. The record is from RNAcentral.
GACGAACGCUGGCGGCGCGCUUAACACAUGCAAGUCGAACGGAAAGGCCUGCUUUCCCUUGUGGAUUGCGGGUACUCGAGUGGCGAACGGGUGAGUAACACGUGAGUGAUCUGCCCCCAACUUGGGUAUAAGCCUGGGAAACUGGGUCUAAUUCCCGAUAGGACUGCAGGGUGGUGCCUGUGGUGGAAAACGAUUUUCUAGUGGUUGGGGAUGAGCUCGCGGCCUAUCAGCUUGUUGGUGGGGUAAUGGCCUACCAAGGCGGCGACGGGUAGCCGGCCUGAGAGGGUGGACGGGCACAUUGGGACUGAGAUACGGCCCAGACUCCGACGGGAGGCAGCAGUGGGGAAUAGUGCACAAUGGGCGGAAGCCUGAUGCAGCGACGCCGCGUGGGGGAUGACGGCCUUCGGGUUGUAAACUCCUUUCGACCGCGAGGAAGCCACCUGGUUGGAAGGGUGGUGACGGUAGUGGUAGAAGAAGCACCGGCUAACUACGUG